UAUCUAAUAAUAUAGAUGCGUGGCGCCACCUAUCGGACUGCGACUGAACUGCAAGGGUAUAUAAACUUCGGCUCCGCCCGAAGUUAGCUUUCCUUUCUUGUUUUUUUUUGAGAUGAGAUACUAGUCUUCUAACGCAAUAUACUCGAUGCUUUUCCGAUUUACUUUGAUCCUUUAAUCCGUUUAAUAUUAACCCCCUCCCUGCGGUCUCUCGGAAUGCGUCCAAUCAGUGCGAAUUACUACUGAAAUGUCGCAUUUUUAAUUUAAAUCGCACUCCCCGAGAUAAAUGAGAAUUAAUGGCUAAAGUUCGAUUGGAGGAAAGAAAAGCAAACAGUUUCCAGAUGAUUGCAUUCCGCCAACAGGACACAAAUGAGAAUAUAUAUUUGAUUAAUGACACUGAGGGGGGAGUGCGGGGUGGUGGAGGAGUGAGUUCAGGACACUCUGCAUAAAAGUGAUUUAUUCCACAAAUUAAAAAUGGCGGAAAUCAAAUUAAUUGAAAUUAAUGCAAAGAUUUAUAUCGGCAAGACAGGGCGUAUGAGUGAUAUUUUUUAUGGUCAUAGAUUUCAAAAGGAUUUUUUUAUCCGAUUAAAUUUGUUAUUCUUUAAAUAAUUAUAAAAAAAUAUUUCAGAGAUUUAAAUAGUAUAACAUAUUUUCAAAAAAAAAAAAUUACAAACAGGGCGUAUGAGUAAUAUUUUAAAAGACUUGCUUAUUAAGUGUGUAAGAAUAUAGUCAACAUUUUUAAACAUAAAAAUAAUGAAAAUUUUGAUCAGAAUCAUUAUAAUUCAUAACAAUUUAACCACAAAAGGAUAUUUUUAAUAACUUAUUUGAGCUGGCAUUUACUUAUUGUUACCAAUUAUUGUACUUCAUACCUUGCAGAGUUGUGGAGUUUUGUUGUUAAUAAAUUGCACUUAACUGGCUUAUAGGAAAGUAAACAAAGACACUAAGAGAAACACCUAGGAAGCUAAGAGAGCCAAAGAGAAGGGAACGGGUUGCAAAUAACAUGCCGUUUUGCAAAAACAAUUCGGAAGCUCUCAGUGCUCAGUUAUGCUGUUGCAGCGCUGCUCUGCCGGCUGUUACCGGUUUUUAUGGCCGCGGCAGCAGCAGUGGCAGAAGUGGCAGCAGCAGCGCCAGAAGUAGGAAGGAAACCAGAAAGCGCCCCUCUGGAUGGGUGUAUUGGUGGACGAGUGCAGCGGUGUGUGUGUCUGUGUGUGUGUGUAGCGUCUGCUGGCGCUGUCUGCUGUGAAAUUGUUGAGGCAGGUCCUGGCUGGAAUACGCGAAAAUAGGUACAGCCAACGAACUGCGCUCCAGACGACCCGACCGACGGGUGUCUCUGUGUUCCGGAUCUGUGUGUGGAUGUGGAAGUGGAUGUGGAUGUGCUACCACCAAAGCCAAAGUCAGAGCCAUCAGGAGCAACAGCAAAAGCAAAACGCCGAAAGAAGCAUCGAAAAACAUGUGGAAGAGUGGCAGGCCAAUGGGUGAAGAGUGACUCUGAAGGCUGGAUGGAGCAUCACAGUACAUAUGUAUGCUGCAGCCUGGGUUCCAGUGCUGGGAACUGCUUGCUGCUUGCUGCCUUCUGCCUUCUGGCUGCCAGCAUUCUGCUUGCUGCAAACUCCGAACAACAAGCCGUCCGUGGCAAUGGCAACACACAUACCGACCGACCGAACCGAUGUAGCCAAAACACUCCACUCGAUAGAUACAGCCGCAGUCGCCGCUCUGCCGCCGCUCAGCCGAGCAUAGUGGCAUAGCUAUAGCUUCAGGUUCAGCCUCAGUUUCGGUUCUGAGCUUCAGCUGCAGCAACGUUUCCUCACUAUCCACUAUCCACCUUCCACUGCCCACUAUCCAUCUAUAUCCGCACAUAUAUCGGCACUAUACAUGCACUAUAUACAUAUAUGUGGCAGUCUCCCCACCCCCCCGACUAUACACACACUUUCGCGAGUAACUAUUUUUUUUGGCCACGGCCAAGAGAUGAAUUGGUAAUGCAAUUCUGGCCAGCUCUCUCGCUGGCUUUCCUUUGUUGCAAAUUGAAUCGAACUGCAGCGGGCGAUCGGCUUACGUGGCCAGGGCCGGAGAGGCGAAUCUGUGGGGGAUUGCGGAUUGAGGAUUAGGCCAAGUCAAGUGGAAUUGUUUUUGCAGAUGUGGGGGCGAGAGAGAGGAAUAAACAAUAGAUAUUGCCAAGAGGUCUAUGAGGUCUAUAUGAGCAUGAGUCAAAAAUUCAUGACUCAGAGAGUCCUUUGAAGCCCAUCAGGAGUGCCUGAAGGAAUUUCACAACAUAAUCAAAUGGGUUCAACCAAGGGUUGCUCGCAGGAUGUUAAGGAUUUGUAAUCCAACUCAAAUGGUGCAUACUCACAUAUGGACCAUUAACAGAAACCCGUAAAUCCGAACUUGUGCUGUUUUUUAUCUGUUACAAGACCGGCAUUAUGGGAGUCUGUCAAUGCAAACAACUGGUUUUUGGCAACAAAAUCAAUCGAAUGUGUCACAAUGAGAGACGACGCGGUCGUAAAACAAUGAAUCGAAUAACCCAACAAACUAAACAGUAAUUAAACCGAUAAAGGACAUAAAUCCUAGAUAAAAUAAAUCAAAUAAUCCACAAUCACUCAGUAACUCUAAUUGACCUCCAAACUGCCCAUUAUGAUUUGUUCCUUUUGACUUUAUUUUCGACAUUAUUUGAUUUACCAAAAACCGACCCAACGAGUGCCCCCAGAAACCAAACCCCUUCACGACCUAACCACCCAGCAAAAAGGACUACACCAAGGACCUUUUUCUCUCUGGCAAAUUGAGGUAGUAGGUUGUAUAGUAGCAACUAAGAAUCGUACUAUACAAUGUGCUAGCUUUCUUUGCUUGACAAUAAGCCGCAUUUGAUUUGAAAAUCCCCCCCCAAUGGAGUUCUAUGUGGAAUCGAAGCCAUAAGUGGUGGUGAUGUGAUAAAAUUUAAUUUAUGCAAAGAAUUAUUAUUAUUGAGAAGUAGUGCUGUUGAGAACCAAACUCCGUCCAGCUCGAUCGAGAGCCGACAUUCGCCAAGCAAAUGCAUCCGCCGGGCGCAUGUAAAUAUUGGUAUUGGUGACAUGUGCAAAUGUUUGUAUGGCUGAUUCCCUGAGACCCUAACUUGUGACUUUUAAUACCAGUUUCACAAGUUUUGAUCUCCGGUAUUGGACGCAAACUUGCUGAUGUUAAUACAAAAAAGAUAAAGCAAACUGAGAGCCAAGGGUCCACUGCAGUUGGCAGUAAGUAGAAAAUUUAUUCACGGGGUCUAAAGUCUUUACCAGUUAUGAGAAUUGCAUUUAUAAAUAAUUCUUGUCUCUUUCUCUUGUCAGAAUGCUGCAGAGGUGGAGUCCUACAGUUCCCACAACCCAAACCCAAUAAAUAAUACUCCUCACUACGCUUUACAUUAUUUUAU
Drosophila ananassae is the source of this 3391-nucleotide long non-coding RNA. RefSeq lists it as uncharacterized. The transcript has 3 exons. The record is from RefSeq and is a predicted model, not a curated record. Lineage: Eukaryota; Metazoa; Arthropoda; Insecta; Diptera; Drosophilidae.